RNAcentral lists this ribosomal RNA (253 nucleotides) under uncultured bacterium. RNAcentral's name for it is "partial 16S ribosomal RNA". It matches the Rfam family "Bacterial small subunit ribosomal RNA", at positions 524 to 776 of the family's 1533-position model. The record is from RNAcentral.
UACGAAGGGGGCUAGCGUUGUUCGGAAUAACUGGGCGUAAAGGGUUUGUAGGCGGGUAUACAAGGCAGUGGUGAAAGCCCAAGGCUCAACCUUGGAAUUGCCAUUGAAACUGUAUAGCUAGAGAAUGUUAGAGGAAAGUGGAAUUCCUAGUGUAGGAGUGAAAUCCGUAGAGAUUAGGAGGAAUAUCGAUGGCGAAGGCAGCUUUCUGGGACAUUUCUGACGCUGAGAAGCGAAAGCGUGGGUAGCAAACAGG